GCAGGCUGAAAUUACGCCUGUAUGAAGCCGGAAUUGCUAGUAAUGGCAGGUCAGCAUACUGCCGUGAAUACGUUCCCGGGCCUUGUACACACCGCCCGUCACACCAUGAGAGUUGGGGAUACCCAAAGCCCGUGAGCCAACUUAUAGAGGCAGCGGUCUAAGGUAGAAUCAAUGAUUGGGGUGAAGUCGUAACAAGGUAUC
Molecule: ribosomal RNA, 201 nt
Filed under: uncultured bacterium
Lineage: Bacteria
Description: partial 16S ribosomal RNA
Rfam family: Bacterial small subunit ribosomal RNA
Source: RNAcentral